CCCUCCCGUCAAUCCUCACCACCGCUCCCCGUAACCAAGAAAUCCCCACCCAAUCUCGUCUCCGAUUGACUCGAGAGCUCGUCAAAUCCUCCUCCCCGCGGCCUCAAGAUGCAGAUCUUUGUGAAGACCCUCACUGGCAAGACCAUCACCCUUGAGGUUGAGAGCUCUGACACCAUCGACAACGUCAAGGCUAAGAUCCAGGACAAGGAGGGCAUCCCCCCGGACCAGCAGCGCCUCAUCUUUGCCGGCAAGCAGCUGGAGGAUGGCCGCACCCUCGCGGACUACAACAUCCAGAAGGAGUCCACCCUCCACCUUGUGCUCCGCCUUCGUGGUGGUAUGCAGAUCUUCGUGAAGACCCUCACCGGCAAGACCAUCACCCUUGAGGUUGAGAGCUCUGACACCAUUGACAACGUCAAGGCCAAGAUCCAGGACAAGGAGGGCAUUCCUCCGGACCAGCAGCGUCUCAUCUUCGCUGGCAAGCAGCUGGAGGAUGGUCGCACCCUUGCUGACUACAACAUCCAGAAGGAGUCCACCCUUCACCUUGUCCUCCGCCUUCGGGGAGGGAUGCAGAUCUUCGUCAAGACCCUCACUGGCAAGACUAUCACUCUUGAGGUGGAGUCGUCCGACACCAUUGACAACGUCAAGGCCAAGAUCCAGGACAAGGAGGGCAUCCCCCCGGACCAGCAGCGCCUGAUCUUCGCUGGCAAGCAGCUGGAGGAUGGCCGCACCCUUGCGGACUACAACAUUCAGAAGGAGUCCACCCUUCACCUGGUGCUCCGCCUCCGUGGUGGUCAGUAAUUGCCCUGGCGUUGGACAUCCUGGUGGUGGUCAGUAAUUGCCCUGGCGUUGGACAUCCUGGUGGUCGUUCGUCCGGCGGAUCAUUGAACUGUUAUCUCGUUCGUGUCAGUCCUAUUGUGUUUGUUUGAUGAACUAUCGAGUCAUGUGUUGGUUUAAACAGUUGCUGGUAUAGCAGUAUUAUUUAGUAAUGAAUAAGCGAACAUCCGGUAAA
RNA transcript from Hordeum vulgare subsp. vulgare (domesticated barley), 1009 nucleotides. It is a transcript of the gene named polyubiquitin 11-like, with no coding region annotated. NCBI's taxonomy places the organism in Eukaryota, Viridiplantae, Streptophyta, Magnoliopsida, Poales, Poaceae. The record is from RefSeq and is a predicted model, not a curated record. The transcript has 2 exons.